CAUUAGGCUUCACUAGAAGCCACCUUUACAUUAAACCCCAGAACA
Non-coding RNA from Neospora caninum, 45 nucleotides. The record is from Rfam. Lineage: Eukaryota; Apicomplexa; Conoidasida; Eucoccidiorida; Sarcocystidae.